AACCCUAGCCGCCGGCUAUCUCUCCUUCUCUCUCUCGUCCCAAAAAUGGUACAAUCACAGAGCAAGUAUAAUCUACACAGCUUUUACAGCAUCAUUUGCGUGAAACAAGUUAAUUCCAAGACUUGUUUCGCCUAGAUCUUUUCAAAAUCGGUAAUAGACCCUUUUUUCUUUUGCUUUUUCUUUGAAAUUAUCUAGUAAAAGUUGAUUAUUACUAUCUUAUUUUGUUAUAUUGUGUUCAUUUUAAUCGAUUUCCAUUGGUUGGGGGUAAAUGGUUUGGAUUGAGUCGAAUAAAGCUCAGAUCUGGCCAUUCAUUUGUUGUUAAGUCAUUUUGAGCCAUAGAUUUGCUUUGCAAGGUUAUUUUCUGGGAAGGAUCAGUUGUCCCACAUCGGUAUUUUGAGGGUUUGAACAAUUUUUGAUGUUCUAUAAAUAAAACCCCACCCUCACCGUGAAGAAAUAAGGUCUGAAAAAUUGGAAAAAACUAAAAGAGGCUAGAAACUUCGAAUUCAGGCCUCUCAGUAUAAAAUUUUUAAAACUUUGACUUAAAUUGAUGUUUUUCUUAGUUCUAAAAAAUUGUUUCUUACUUGUUUUGAGUUUGUUGUGGCUGAGUGUGGGUUUUGGAAGCACAAAAGGCUUUCAAGUUCAAUCUUGACCACGACUGCACUUUAAAAAGACUUACAAGCUUGGACGAAUAAGCGUAGCUUAUAAGCGGUCGAACAGGUACACCCAGAUGAGUAGAAGACAAUAUGAAAGAUGUUCCAGCGGCGUUGGCAAGCUCCACUUGCUCCUGGAGUGCUGCCGAGUCAGAGUAUAUGUGUUAUGAUUUCUGAUUAAUGUUAGAGACUUUGCAGACAGAGUCAUGGGUAUUGGAAGUCAGUCUGUAAGCGGCUCCAUCAGCCGGUGUGUCAUUUUGUGUUAUGUUAUAAAGUCCAUGUGGUUACAGAUUUUAUUUGAUUAAAGAAAGAUGAA
This is a long non-coding RNA of Lycium barbarum (goji berry), 966 nucleotides long. RefSeq lists it as uncharacterized. The transcript is spliced from 3 exons. NCBI's taxonomy places the organism in Eukaryota, Viridiplantae, Streptophyta, Magnoliopsida, Solanales, Solanaceae. The record is from RefSeq and is a predicted model, not a curated record.